GCCAGUUGUCUACACAGUACACUCGUUAUUUGGGUAGUAUCUAAGCACUGGAAGUAGUUAGAUGUUAGCUGUGUAGCAUUUUAGUGUUUAGCUCUACAUUAUAAUUUAUAUGUUAUUGAACUGAGUAAACAUAUUCAAGGCUUGUUUAUUACACAAGGUUGCAAGUUUUCUUUUCCAGUAAAAUGUUUCUGUGUUUUGUUCACUGCAGGCAGAAUUCACAGAGAGUGAUAGAGGGCUUCAGGCUAUCCCUACUCGCGGCUAGCAAAGUUGUUCUCCCCGUCGGGACUACAAGAACACAAUGUAAGUAAAAAUAUAAACCAUAAUUUAUACUCUAGAUGAAACUUACAGUACUUCAGGUAUUUUCACUAGACACUUUAGAGAUAUUUAUAAUUUCUAUACUUGAAUUUUGUGGAUGUCACUGUAUAUUCACUAACCCAUAUCCAUAUGUCUGUGGAAAGCUAUGAAUGCAAAGCCAGACAGUAAGCAGUAUAUCAUAACAUAUAAUAGGAAUAAUGUCCCUUUGAUUUUUGGAGUUCCGAUCUGAACACCUGUCACUUUUUGGCAAGGGCACGCCCCAGCACCAGGUCUCCCCUGCUGGAGUUGGGGGAGGGUAUGUGUGUGUCUCAGUGACUCAGUGUGUGUGUGUGUGUGUGUGUGUGUGGUGUGUGCAUGUUUGUGAGUGUGUAUGUGUGUGAGAGAGAGGUAGAAGAUGAAACAGCCGUCGAGGAGGUGUUGAUCACACAGCCAGACAGGGUGAGUGACAGACAAUACCUGCUGUAAAAUUCCCUCACAUCUCCGCUGAUCUGUAUUCAUAGAUCCACCAAACUGUACCCCACACCAGCCAGCUCCUUUAGCACGCACCGCCCCACUCCUCACACUCACUUCACUCCUCAACUCACAUGUUAGACCCCUCUCCUUCUCUUCCUUAAGUAUUUACCAAGUCUUUGUUCUCUGUCUAAAUGAUAGCUCUGAUCACUAGCUAGAGAGGCUGAAAGAAGCUCUCUCUCAAUUCAAUUCAUUUCAAGGAGCUUUAAUGGCAUGGGAAAAAUGUGUGAAAAAUGUGUUAACAUUGCCAAAGCAAGUGAGGUAGAUAAUAUAUAAAAGUGAAAUAAACAAUAAAAAUGAACAGUAAACAUUACACAUACAGAAGUUCCAAAACAAUAAAGACAUUACAAAUGUCAUAUUAUGUAUAUAUACUGUGUUGUAACAAUGUACAAAUGGUUUAACUCUCUCUCUCUCUCUCUCUCUCUCUCUCUCUCUCUAUCUCUCUCUCUCUCUCUCUCUCUGACAAUAUGGACUUUCUUUAUUCCACCACUCCACUCCUAAUCUCACCUAAUUCGGAUUCUUCAAAUACUUGGCCGACGAGUGAACGUCAAGGUGCGGAACAGGGUGUGUGUCUCACUGGCAUACACACCAUGUCAAACUGAAUUAAAGACGUCUUACUUAACACACAGGCCAUUCGAUCCGAGGGCUGACAAUGAUGCCAUCAAAUCCACAGUAUGUGGCACCACUAUACCAAACCUCAAGACUUUUCUUGUUGUAGGUGUUGUUAUUGUUGCCUCUCUGGUUGUCAUCUUAUUGUUUGGGUGAUAUGAGGAAAUCUAAAGAAAGAUGAGGAUGAGGAAAACGUCUCCGCAAUAUACACAAAAUGUCUGUGAUUGGUUCCAUCUCUGUAUCUGUCACCAUAUUCCUACAGCAAAAUCAAAACAUUUUGCUGGUUGAAUUCAAAAACAUGGUGCUGAGUGCAGCAAAAUAAAUUGCCAUCUUUGGUUUAUUUGUGUGCAUUGUAAACAUACCUAACA
This is a long non-coding RNA of Oncorhynchus tshawytscha (Chinook salmon), 1802 nucleotides long. The record is from Ensembl. Lineage: Eukaryota; Metazoa; Chordata; Actinopteri; Salmoniformes; Salmonidae.